GAUGAACGCUGACAGAAUGCUUAACACAUGCAAGUCUUUGGCGAAGCUGUGCUUGCACCGCCUAGCCAAGGCGGACGGGUGAGUAACGCGUAAGGAACUUGCCCUGCAGUCAGGGAUAACAGACGGAAACGACUGAUAAGACCUGGUAAAGUCAGGCGGACUCAUGUCCAGCCUGAUGAAAAGAGAUGCUGCAGGAGAGCCUUGCGUCCUAUUAGCUUGUUGGUGGGGUAACGGCCCACCAAGGCGAUGAGAGGGAGCCGGCCUGAGAGGGUGGACGGCCACAAGGGGAAUGAGAUACGGCCCUUACUCCUACGGGAGGCAGCAGUGGGGAAUAUUGGACAAGGGGGGCAACCCUGAUGCAGCAAUUCUGUGUGCACGAUGAAGGUUUUCGGAUUGUAAAGUGCUUUCAGCAGGGAAGAAAAAAAUGACGGUACCUGCAGAAGAAGCGACGGCUAAAUACGUG
Molecule: ribosomal RNA, 463 nt
Filed under: uncultured bacterium
Lineage: Bacteria
Description: partial 16S ribosomal RNA
Rfam family: Bacterial small subunit ribosomal RNA
Source: RNAcentral